UAUUAUUUAUUAAAUGAAAAAGGUGUAUAGAGACAAAAUGUUUAAUAAAGAGUGUAUAAUCCCAAAUAUUAAAAAGAAGAAAGGGGAGGAGGCUGCUGGGUGUGCCCUCUUGACUAGACUGUCCAAAUUGGAAAGAUAACAUAUUAAAAACACGGUCUAUGUUAGGUAGUCGCCAUUGCCAGCAGGAGGUUUCCACUUCAGGGAACAUUUGAACCCAUCUCUUCCAUUUUUUUUCUCGAUUUCUGACUUUCUGGAAAAGGGGAAAUGCAAUAAGUGGAGAAUAGAAUCUGAUCAUAAGAGGGUACAAACAGUAGUUGACAAUGGGAGAAUGAAAUUGAGGAGUAAGGAAGAGGUUAAUGGUGGUGGAUUGGGUUGGUUGUGGCUGAAAGGAAAUGAAAGAGAUUGGGGAAAGCAAUGCACAUGGCGAGUGGGAUUGAGACGCCAUUGUCGGGUUUAGUUUGUUGAAAUUUGUAAGAAUGCAGCCCUAGUGUUCGAUCAUAUGCCUGAGUGACCCCUCCUUUCAUUUCUAUUCUUUUUUGGGGUCCUCUAUAUCUCACUGACACCUUCUCAUCACAAAAUAGUUUAUGUUUUCCAUUGUGAAAUAUUCAUUGAGUUGUCAUUUGUCACCAUUGCAUUGAUGGGGCCCCUCAUCUUCAUCUAUAUCUGCAAUUAUUAAUGGCCA
Long non-coding RNA from Cucumis sativus (cucumber), 682 nucleotides. RefSeq lists it as uncharacterized. The record is from RefSeq and is a predicted model, not a curated record. The transcript has 2 exons. Lineage: Eukaryota; Viridiplantae; Streptophyta; Magnoliopsida; Cucurbitales; Cucurbitaceae.